AGCGAGAGCGCCCGUCGUGUGAGAAGUGUACGAACAAGGGGAAAAGUCCACACCUGAUUCCUCAUGACAAGUAGUCGUUCAAAUGCUACAGUACGAGGACUAGAUGGCGGCACAGCUGUGAAGAGUGACGCUCUGAGGCUGACCCACGUGAAGGUCCCGACACAGCUUUGAAAGUGCCAUCUUGGGAGCAGUCAGGGACUUCACCAGACGACCAACCUGUCAGUGCCUUGAUCUUGACUUC
Tupaia belangeri chinensis (Chinese tree shrew) is the source of this 241-nucleotide long non-coding RNA. RefSeq lists it as uncharacterized. The record is from RefSeq and is a predicted model, not a curated record. NCBI's taxonomy places the organism in Eukaryota, Metazoa, Chordata, Mammalia, Scandentia, Tupaiidae. The transcript has 3 exons.